This 452-nucleotide ribosomal RNA is filed under the name uncultured bacterium. RNAcentral's name for it is "bacterial SSU rRNA". It matches the Rfam family "Bacterial small subunit ribosomal RNA", at positions 340 to 786 of the family's 1533-position model. The record is from RNAcentral.
UACGGGAGGCAGCAGUGGGGAAUAUUGCACAAUGGGCGCAAGCCUGAUGCAGCCAUGCCGCGUGUAUGAAGAAGGCCUUCGGGUUGUAAAGUACUUUUCAGUCGUGAGGAAGGUGUUAAGGUUAAUAACCUUAGCAAUUGACGUUAGCGACAGAAGAAGCACCGGCUAACUCCGUGCCAGCAGCCGCGGUAAUACGGAGGGUGCGAGCGUUAAUCGGAAUUACUGGGCGUAAAGGGCACGCAGGCGGUUAUAAGUUGGAUGUGAAAUCCCCGGGCUUAACCUGGGAAUGGCAUUCAAGACUGGUUAGCUAGAGUCUUGUAGAGGGGGUAGAAUUCCAUGUGUAGCGGUGAAAUGCGUAGAGAUGUGGAGGAAUACCGGUGGCGAAGGCGGCCCCUGGACAAAGACUGACGCUCAUGUGCGAAAGCGUGGGGAGCAAACAGGGAUUAGAUACC